RNAcentral lists this ribosomal RNA (826 nucleotides) under Ctenophora environmental sample. RNAcentral's name for it is "partial Bacterial large subunit ribosomal RNA". It matches the Rfam family "Bacterial large subunit ribosomal RNA", at positions 1594 to 2423 of the family's 2925-position model. The record is from RNAcentral. Lineage: Eukaryota; Metazoa; Ctenophora.
GUGGACUCGUCGUGCCGAGAAAGAGCUUCUAAGGUUAGGUUAUCAGGAACCGUACCGCAAACCGACACAGGUAGGCGAGCUGAGAAUGCUAAGGCGUACGGAAGAACUCACGUUAAGGAACUCGGCAAAUUACAUACGUAACUUAGGGAGAAGUAUGGCCUCCUUCGAGAGAAGAGGUUGCAGAGACCAGGCCCGAGCGACUGUUUACCAAAAACACAGGUCACUGCGAACCAGCAAUGGGAAGUAUAGUGACUGACACCUGCCCGGUGCUGGAAGGUUAAGAGGAGCUGUUAGCAUUUAUGUGAAGCAGUGAAUUGAAGCCCCAGUAAACGGCGGCCGUAACUAUAACGGUCCUAAGGUGGCGAAAUUCCUUGUCGGGUAAGUUCCGACCCGCACGAAUGGUGUAACGAUUUGGGCACUGUCUCGACGUGAGAUCCGGUGAAAUUAAAGUCUCGGUGAAGAUGCCGAGUACUCGUGGUUAGACGGAAAGACCCCGUGAACCUUUACUGCAUCCUGAUAUUGAUGCGUGGAUUAUGAUGUGUAGGAUAGGUGGGAGACUAUGAUUUCUGGUCGUCAGGCUGGGAUGAGUCGUUGGUGAAAUACCACCCUUUAUGAUUCAUGUAUCUAACGCUGACCGUGAAGCCGGUUAGCGGACAUUGUCAGGUGGGCAGUUUGACUGGGGCGGUCGCCUCCCAAAGCGUAACGGAGGCGCGCGAAGGUUCUCUUUUCACGGUCAGAAAUCGUGAAUGAAGUGUAAAGGCAUAAGAGAGCUUGACUGCGAGACUGACAAGUCGAGCAGGUACGAAAGUAGGUCUUAGUGAUCUGG